GCAGACAGGAGUGAGUCCAAGGUUUUGGUCAAACCCUGCCUGGCAUGAACUAAUGAGCUCAGGCUCAGGCCAUACUGCCUGGGUUCAGAUCCUGGCUCAUCCAUUUCCUAGCUGUGUAGCCUGGGGCAAGUUGCUUGACCUCUCUUUGCUUCUAUUUCCUCAGCCAUAAGGUGGGAACUACCCUUCAUCAAAGAGUAGCUGUGAGGACUGAAGGAGGCAACGCAUAUGAACUCAUUCUGGAGUAGGAUGGGCCCUUCAUCCACUAUGACUGGCACCAUGGGAAGAUGGAGGCACAGCGGGGGAGGCGUGCAGCUGCAAGUGAAGGAAUGCCAAGAUUGCCAGCCACAGCCAGAAGCCAGAAGAGGCCAGGAAGGAUUCCACCCAGAGUGCAGCAUGGCCCUGGUGACACCUUGAUCUUGGACUUCGGGCCUCCAAAGCUGUGAAAGAAUAAAUUUCUGUUGUUUAAAGCCACCCAAUUUGUGGUACAUUCUUUUUAUGGUUUGUUUGUUUGUUUGUUUGUUUGUUUGCAAUGGAGUCUCACUCUGUUGUCCAGGCUGGAGUGCAGUGGCGCAGUCUUGACUCACUGCAACCUCUGCCUCCCAGGUUCAAGCAAUUCCUCUGCCUCAGCCUCCUGAGUAGCUGGAACUACAAGCACGUGCCACCACGCCCGCUAAUUUUUGUAUUUUUAAUGGAGACGGGGUUUCACCAUAUUGCCCAGGCCAGUCUCGAACUCCUGACUUUGUGAUCCGCCCACCUCGGCCUCCCAAAGUGCUAGGAUUACACAUGUGAGCCACCACGCCUGGCCUGUGGUACAUUCUUAAAGCAGCCCUAAGAAAUCAAUACAAGAAAUGUCUAGGCAGGGCAAGGUGGCUCACGCCUAUAACCCCAGCAAUUUGGGAGGCCGAGGUGGGAGGACCACCUGAGGUCAGGAGUUCAAGACCCGCCCAGCCAACAUGGCGAAACCCCA
This 967-nucleotide long non-coding RNA is filed under the name Homo sapiens (human). Its description in RNAcentral is "HSALNT0001263". The record is from RNAcentral. Lineage: Eukaryota; Metazoa; Chordata; Mammalia; Primates; Hominidae.